CUACGGGACGCUCCAGUGAGGAAUAUUGGUCAAUGGAGGCAACUCUGAACCAGCCAUGCCGCGUGAAGGAUGACGGCCCUAUGGGUUGUAAACUUCUUUUGAAUAGGAAGAAACUUAUCUACGUGUAGAUAACUGACGGUACUAUUAGAAUAAGGAUCGGCUAACUCCGUGCCAGCAGCCGCGGUAAUACGGAGGAUCCAAGCGUUAUCCGGAUUCAUUGGGUUUAAAGGGUCCGUAGGCGGGUCUUUAAGUCAGUGGUGAAAGCCGACAGCUCAACUGUCGAACUGCCAUUGAAACUGGAAACCUUGAGUACGAAUGAAGUAGACGGAAUGAGUCAUGUAGCGGUGAAAUGCAUAGAUAUGACUCAGAACACCGAUUGCGAAGGCAGCUUACUAACAUGUAACUGACGCUGAGGGACGAAAGCGUGGGGAGCGAACAGGAUUAGAUACCCCCGUAGUC
This 459-nucleotide ribosomal RNA is filed under the name uncultured bacterium. Its description in RNAcentral is "partial 16S ribosomal RNA". It matches the Rfam family "Bacterial small subunit ribosomal RNA", at positions 339 to 795 of the family's 1533-position model. The record is from RNAcentral.